ACUUACUCCUGUACAUCUAGACAUAAGGAUUAACAUCUGACUACAUCAUACUGUGAUAGUAAAAGUAGCACGAAGGCAAAAUGCCACUGACGGUGUAGGAAGCUGAUUUUGGAGGCCAGGUUGGCUGAGGAAGGACGAGUCUCGCAUCCCAUCUGGGCUCUGCAGGUUUAAAGGUGUCCAUUCUUUUCUUGGUGUCUCUUGAACUGAAGUCUGACUCGGAUCUAGUUGCCCGAACUGUAAAAGAAAAUACAGUCAUUCAUCCGGUCAUCUGUGAUUACAACUCUAUUUAAAAAUGUAGCGGAGCAGGCUUUUAUAUGAUGUUCUGCCGUAGUUAAACAAGUCUUGUCUAUUCUUUUCAGUACAGAGAUGAACACAAUAAAUGUUUUUUGGGGUUUGGAAGCAAAAUGAGAACAUUUAUAAUAUCAAAUUCUAAAACAAAAUUUCAUCAAAACAUAACUCUAAGUAUGAAAGGAAUGUCAAAAGUUCAUCCACUUACUGAUGUCCAAGUGCUUUAAUUUAAAAUUCAGGUUGCCAGGAUCUCUGUCAUAUGAAGUAACAAUGUCUGGAAUGUCUUCAUUAAGCUGAAAUAAGUGACAAAAAGUCAAUAGUUUUUUUUUUUACUUUUGUGUUUAUCGCCAUCUUGUGGUAAAAUCAAACAUUACAAAGGACAGAGUUGGGUGCUGCUCUCCAAGGUGAAAUGAGUUUGAAAAUGCUCGCCUCUCCUUCAUGUUCAAGAUAGGGAUGACAGACAUACAGAAGAAGGUAUAAUGCAUAAAGUUCUUUCUGUUCACAGAGCCGUACCUGUCUGAAGUCAUGAGGUUUGGGGUUCUUGUAAGAUCCAGAUGGGAACUUCCCCGUCUUGACAAACAUCAGCUCAGAUUCCAGAGCAUCAGGAGGCUUGUAGGAUGUGAUGAACUUUGGAGGAUUUUCCCUUUGGAUCUGACAGAGAUCUGUACAGCUUCAGAGAGAAAUCUGGUGGUUUGAUGCUCCACACGACGCUUUGACUCUCAGUCUGUGGGAGUGCGAACCAUUUGCUUCUUGCAAAAGAGAGAGACUGGCUUGCAGAGAAUUUCAUUUUUUCCUCAAAGGAGACUGAGGACAGUGGCUGCGACAAACUAUAUGGAGCCAUCCUGACAACAAAGGUACUGGCUUACCUUGAAUUUCCUGGAGAUAUGUCCUGACCUGUCACUUCUAUAGAGUUUACAUCCACAGAGUUUGAACUAGUUUGUUCUUAUGGCCCCAGGAGAAAGCUGCAGACAGUGGCACAAAGGUGGAUUAGAGACACAGCACACAAUAAGGGCUGCUUGGUAACGAGCGCCUUUAGUCUUAACAAAAAGAAUGAAGUGGGCAGAGCUCAGUAGGACAUUUAACAAAAACAGGAGCUUAGCAACAGAGCAAACAAAGGGCCCUUUUGAAAAUCCUUUUAC
This 1427-nucleotide long non-coding RNA is filed under the name Sparus aurata (gilthead seabream). Its description in RNAcentral is "lncRNA (ENSSAUG00010003170.1)". Lineage: Eukaryota; Metazoa; Chordata; Actinopteri; Spariformes; Sparidae. The record is from RNAcentral.